GACGAACGCUGGCGGCGUGCCUAAUACAUGCAAGUAGAACGCUGAAGAGAGGAGCUUGCUCUUCUUGGAUGAGUUGCGAACGGGUGAGUAACGCGUAGGUAACCUGCCUGGUAGCGGGGGAUAACUAUUGGAAACGAUAGCUAAUACCGCAUGACAUUGAUUAUCGCAUGAUAAUAAAUUGAAAGGUGCAAUUGCAUCACUACCAGAUGGACCUGCGUUGUAUUAGCUAGUUGGUGAGGUAACGGCUCACCAAGGCGACGAUACAUAGCCGACCUGAGAGGGUGAUCGGCCACACUGGGACUGAGACACGGCCCAGACUCCUACGGGAGGCAGCAGUAGGGAAUCUUCGGCAAUGGGGGGAACCCUGACCGAGCAACGCCGCGUGAGUGAAGAAGGUUUUCGGAUCGUAAAGCUCUGUUGUAAGAGAAGAACGGGUGUGAGAGUGGAAAGUUCACACUGUGACGGUAUCUUACCAGAAAGGGACGGCUAACUACGUGCCAGCAGCCGCGGUAAUACGUAGGUCCCGAGCGUUGUCCGGAUUUAUUGGGCGUAAAGCGAGCGCAGGCGGUUAGAUAAGUCUGAAGUUAAAGGCUGUGGCUUAACCAUAGUAUGCUUUGGAAACUGUUUAACUUGAGUGCAGAAGGGGAGAGUGGAAUUCCAUGUGUAGCGGUGAAAUGCGUAGAUAUAUGGAGGAACACCGGUGGCGAAAGCGGCUCUCUGGUCUGUAACUGACGCUGAGGCUCGAAAGCGUGGGGAGCAAACAGGAUUAGAUACCCCGGUAGUCCACGCCGUAAACGAUGAGUGCUAGGUGUUAGGCCCUUUCCGGGGCUUAGUGCCGCAGCUAACGCAUUAAGCACUCCGCCUGGGGAGUACGACCGCAAGGUUGAAACUCAAAGGAAUUGACGGGGGCCCGCACAAGCGGUGGAGCAUGUGGUUUAAUUCGAAGCAACGCGAAGAACCUUACCAGGUCUUGACAUCCCUCUGACCACUCUAGAGAUAGAGUUUUCCUUCGGGACAGAGGUGACAGGUGGUGCAUGGUUGUCGUCAGCUCGUGUCGUGAGAUGUUGGGUUAAGUCCCGCAACGAGCGCAACCCCUAUUGUUAGUUGCCAUCAUUGAGUUGGGCACUCUAGCGAGACUGCCGGUAAUAAACCGGAGGAAGGUGGGGAUGACGUCAAAUCAUCAUGCCCCUUAUGACCUGGGCUACACACGUGCUACAAUGGCUGGUACAACGAGUCGCAAGCCGGUGACGGCAAGCUAAUCUCUGAAAGCCAGUCUCAGUUCGGAUUGUAGGCUGCAACUCGCCUACAUGAAGUCGGAAUCGCUAGUAAUCGCGGAUCAGCACGCCGCGGUGAAUACGUUCCCGGGCCU
RNAcentral lists this ribosomal RNA (1369 nucleotides) under uncultured bacterium. Its description in RNAcentral is "bacterial SSU rRNA". It matches the Rfam family "Bacterial small subunit ribosomal RNA", at positions 28 to 1381 of the family's 1533-position model. The record is from RNAcentral.